UGGGGAAUAUUGCGCAAUGGGGGAAACCCUGACGCAGCAACGCCGCGUGAUUGAAGAAGGUCUUCGGAUUGUAAAAAUCUUUUAUCAAGGACGAAGAAGUGACGGUACUUGAUGAAUAAGCUCCGGCUAACUACGUGCCAGCAGCCGCGGUAAUACGUAGGGAGCAAGCGUUAUCCGGAUUUACUGGGUGUAAAGGGCGAGUAGGCGGAUUGGCAAGUUGGGAGUGAAAUGUCGGGGCUUAACCCCGGACUGCUUUUGAAACUGUAAGGCUAGAGUGCAGGAGGGGUGAGUGGAAUUCCUAGUGUAGCGGUGAAAUGCGUAGAUAUUAGGAGGAACACCAGUGGCGAAGGCGGCUCACUGGACUGUAACUGACACUGAGGCUCGAAAGCGUGGGGAGCAAACAGGAUUAGAUACCCUGGUA
This 421-nucleotide ribosomal RNA is filed under the name uncultured Lachnospiraceae bacterium. RNAcentral's name for it is "bacterial SSU rRNA". It matches the Rfam family "Bacterial small subunit ribosomal RNA", at positions 355 to 792 of the family's 1533-position model. The record is from RNAcentral. Lineage: Bacteria; Bacillati; Bacillota; Clostridia; Lachnospirales; Lachnospiraceae.